This is a long non-coding RNA of Mus musculus (house mouse), 1351 nucleotides long. RefSeq annotates it as predicted gene, 42306. Lineage: Eukaryota; Metazoa; Chordata; Mammalia; Rodentia; Muridae. The transcript is spliced from 3 exons. The record is from RefSeq and is a predicted model, not a curated record.
GGAUGCCAGGCUAAUGCCCCGCCCCCUCGCCGGAUAGCCCCGCCCCGGCACGCGGCCUCCUUAGAGAGCAGCCAACCAGGUUCCGUGGGGAGGAGUCACCCACAGAGUCAGCGGGUGCUCGGGAAAAGGACCUCUGGGGUACUGGCCUCCCUAGAGGAUUGGCAGGAGCCUGGCGCCGUGACUGGAGCGCGCAGAGCUGACAACCCAAGGUCGUGGCUGCGCUCCCUCUGUGGCUAGUGGUCCACCUGGUCCUUGGUCUGGAACCAGAGCGUUUACUUCGCCCAGAGGACAGAGCAUCUGACAGAUGCAGCUAGAGGACAGCUAUGGGUCACUGGUCACCUAGAGGCAUCUGACACAUCACAUGCCCAAGUCGCUGUGUCAAGAACAUCCUCUCCAAGAGAUAGGAGCUCUGUUUUGCCUCUGUGUUUGCGAAGUAACGGCUUCGGUGUAACUCAGAGCCCUGUACAUCUCCCAGCACGGUCCAGGAGACUAGCUGAGAGGAGGCCUAUUAACACACAUUUCCCAGGAGUCACCAUGGCAUCCUUGAUACCAGCUUCAUGAUGUUAUUGUCUCCAAGUGUCUUUGACACAGCAGCAGUUAAGACCAAUGAAGGUAAAAACUCCUCCUGGUCAAGAGAAUACUAGAUAUUAAUCUGGUUGGAGAAUUGACAUUUUUGUAAGGCAUGUCAAUCAUCUGGCUAAGACACUGCCCCUUAGAAGGCGGGUUCUUCUGUAGCCACGUUAAAAAGGAACUUCUCUGCAACUAAAAGUGACCAGUGUGGGGCUGGAAGCUGGCAGAGUGCUCACCUAGUGUGGACAGAACUCGGGGUUCAAUGCCUACUGCAUGAGACGGACAUGGUGGCAUGUAUCUGUAUCCCCAGCACUCCAGAGGUGGAAGCGGCGUGAUAAGAAUUCCACGGUCGCCCGAGGCUAUAUAAGAAGUUCAAGGCCAGCCUGGACUGUAUGAAACUCUGCCCCACACCCUGAAAAUGAGGGAGGUGAAGCAACUGUGUAUCUGGUGGUGCUCGCCUAGAACCCCAGUGCCUGGGACGUGGAGGCUGGAGGAUGUGCAGUUCAAAUGAUGGAAUGUCCUAGGUUUAACCGAUGGUACCAAAAGAGAAAAAAAAAAAAAAAAAAAGGCAAUACUAGUUUCUGACCUUGGGACAAAAGACUGUGGUGCAUAUUUUACAUAUCAAAGCAAGCCAGCAUCCAGGUUCUCCCAAACUUUCCAGCCCAGAGGGGCUGGGCUGCCCUUCCCUCAGCGGCUCCUCCCUAUGUAAUCCAAAGAUUUGGUCUCCCUGCCCCCUCUCCUUCUUCUUUUCUACAAGCAUACCCUUCUCUCUUUUCUUCCU